This 58-nucleotide transfer RNA is filed under the name Scarabaeidae sp. BMNH 1274752. Its description in RNAcentral is "tRNA-Leu". Lineage: Eukaryota; Metazoa; Arthropoda; Insecta; Coleoptera; Scarabaeidae. The record is from RNAcentral.
AUUAUUUUGGCAGAUUAGUGCUUUAAAUUUAGAAUUUAAAUAAGUAUUUUAUAUAAUA